This 103-nucleotide small nuclear RNA is filed under the name Vulpes vulpes (red fox). Lineage: Eukaryota; Metazoa; Chordata; Mammalia; Carnivora; Canidae. The record is from RNAcentral.
GUGCUCACUUCAGCAGCACAUGUACUAAAAUUGGAAGGAUACAGAGAUUAGCAUGGCCCCUUGCAAGAAUGACAUGCAAAUUUAUGAAGCAUUCCAUAUUUAA